UCCCUCGUAGCUCAGUUGGUAAAGAAUCUGCCUACAAUGCAGGAGACCCGGGUUCGAUCCCUGGGUUGGGAA
This 72-nucleotide transfer RNA is filed under the name Bos taurus (domestic cattle). It matches the Rfam family "tRNA". Rfam says of the family: Transfer RNA (tRNA) molecules are approximately 80 nucleotides in length. Their secondary structure includes four short double-helical elements and three loops (D, anti-codon, and T loops). The record is from Rfam by way of RNAcentral. RNAcentral also lists the same sequence under 4 other names. Lineage: Eukaryota; Metazoa; Chordata; Mammalia; Artiodactyla; Bovidae.